GUGAGGAAUAUUGGACAAUGGGCGCAAGCCUGAUCCAGCCAUGCCGCGUGCAGGAAGACGCAUCUAUGGUGUGUAAACUGCUUUUGUACGGGAAGAAACACUCCCUCGUGAGGGAGCUUGACGGUACCGUAAGAAUAAGGAUCGGCUAACUCCGUGCCAGCAGCCGCGGUAAUACGGAGGAUCCAAGCGUUAUCCGGAAUCAUUGGGUUUAAAGGGUCCGUAGGCGGUUUGGUAAGUCAGUGGUGAACGCCCGCAGCUCAACUGUGGAACGGCCAUUGAUACUGCCAGACUUGAAUUACAAGGAAGUAACUAGAAUAUGUAGUGUAGCGGUGAAAUGCUUAGAUAUUACAUGGAAUACCAAUUGCGAAGGCAGGUUACUACUUGUGGAUUGACGCUGAUGGACGAAAGCGUGGGGAGCGAACAGGAUUAGAAACCCGGGUAGUCC
This 445-nucleotide ribosomal RNA is filed under the name uncultured bacterium. Its description in RNAcentral is "partial 16S ribosomal RNA". It matches the Rfam family "Bacterial small subunit ribosomal RNA", at positions 354 to 796 of the family's 1533-position model. The record is from RNAcentral.